Molecule: ribosomal RNA, 273 nt
Filed under: uncultured bacterium
Lineage: Bacteria
Description: partial 16S ribosomal RNA
Rfam family: Bacterial small subunit ribosomal RNA
Source: RNAcentral
UACGUAGGGUCGCAGCGUUAUCGGAAUUACUGGGCGUAAAGCGUGCGCAGGCGGUUUUGUAAGUCUGUCGUGAAAUCCCCGGGCUCAACCUGGGAAUUGCGAUGGAGACUGCAAGGCUAGAAUCUGGCAGAGGGGGGUAGAAUUCCACGUGUAGCAGUGAAAUGCGUAGAGAUGUGGAGGAACACCGAUGGCGAAGGCAGCCCCUGGGUCAAGAUUGACGCUCAUGCACGAAAGCGUGGGGAGCAAACGAGGAUACGAAACCCGGUGUCAGAU